AACGAGACCUUAACCUGCUAAAUAGCCUGGCUGGCUUUCGCCGGUCACCGGCUUCUUAGAGGGACUGUCAGCGUCUAGCUGACGGAAGUUUGAGGCAAUAACAGGUCUGUGAUGCCCUUAGAUGUUCUGGGCCGCACGCGCGCUACACUGACAGAGCCAGCGAGUUCUUUUCCUUGGCCGGAAGGUCAUGGGUAAUCUUGUGAAACUCU
RNAcentral lists this ribosomal RNA (209 nucleotides) under Lactarius southworthiae. RNAcentral describes it as "partial small subunit ribosomal RNA". It matches the Rfam family "Eukaryotic small subunit ribosomal RNA", at positions 1334 to 1563 of the family's 1831-position model. The record is from RNAcentral. Lineage: Eukaryota; Fungi; Basidiomycota; Agaricomycetes; Russulales; Russulaceae.